GCSRSUWMUGGWCGUMGMUCGCGWCACUAGUACGGCCGCCAGUGUGCUGGAAUUCGCCCUUCCCGGCGUUGAAUCGCAAUUAAACCGCAAACUCCACCCGUUGUGGUGCUCCCCCGCCAAUUCCUUUAAGUUUCAGCCUUGCGGCCGUACUUCCCAGGUGGCUCGCUUCACGGCUUCCCUACGGCACCAACAACGGUCGCACCGUGGCCGACACCUAGCGAGUAUCGUUUACGGCUAGGACUACCCGGGUAUCUAAUCCGGUUCGUGCCCCUAGCUUUCGUCCCUUGCCGUCAGGUCCGUUCUGGUGAGACGCCUUCGCCACUGGUGGUCCUUCAAGGAUUACAAGAUUUCACCCCUACCCCUGAAGUACCUCUCACCUCUCCCGGCCUCGAGCCGAACAGUAUCUCCUGAAAGCCCAACAGUUGAGCUGCUGGAUUUCUCAAGAGACUUAUCCGGCCGGCUACAGACCCUUUAGACCCAAUAAUAACGGUUACCACUCGAGCCGCCGGUGUUACCGCGGCGGCUGGCACCGGUCUUGCCCGGCCCUUGCUAUGCAAUGCUUUUAGGCAUCACGACAGCCAGAUUUGUAACUGGACUCAAGGCCCCUUAUC
This 611-nucleotide ribosomal RNA is filed under the name uncultured archaeon. RNAcentral describes it as "partial 16S ribosomal RNA". The record is from RNAcentral.